RNAcentral lists this ribosomal RNA (468 nucleotides) under uncultured bacterium. RNAcentral's name for it is "partial 16S ribosomal RNA". It matches the Rfam family "Bacterial small subunit ribosomal RNA", at positions 28 to 507 of the family's 1533-position model. The record is from RNAcentral.
GACGAACGCUGGCGGCGUGCUUAACACAUGCAAGUCGAACGGAAAGGCCCUGCUUUUGUGGGGUGCUCGAGUGGCGAACGGGUGAGUAACACGUGAGUAACCUGCCCUUGACUUUGGGAUAACUUCAGGAAACUGGGGCUAAUGCCGGAUAGGAGCUCCUGCUGCAUGGUGGGGGUUGGAAAGUUUCGGCGGUUGGGGAUGGACUCGCGGCUUAUCAGCUGGUUGGUGGGGUAGUGGCUUACCAAGGCUUUGACGGGUAGCCGGCCUGAGAGGGUGACCGGCCACAUUGGGACUGAGAUACGGCCCAGUCUCCUACGGGAGGCAGCAGUGGGGAAUAUUGCACAAUGGGCGGAAGCCUGAUGCAGCAACGCCGCGUGCGGGAUGACGGCCUUCGGGUUGUAAACCGCUUUCGCCUGUGACGAAGCGUGAGUGACGGUAAUGGGUAAAGAAGCACCGGCUAACUACGUG